RNAcentral lists this ribosomal RNA (456 nucleotides) under Triticum aestivum (bread wheat). RNAcentral's name for it is "partial small subunit ribosomal RNA". The record is from RNAcentral. Lineage: Eukaryota; Viridiplantae; Streptophyta; Magnoliopsida; Poales; Poaceae.
AUGGCAGAUCGUCAGCAGGCAGAGGGCCGACGGGAGGAGGCAGGCGAGGUGGAUGUCCAUGGCAGCGGAAGGAGAGGCAAAAGGCUGGACCGUGCAGCAGCGGGCGAGGGGCUCCGGGACGGCAUGGAGGUCGAGGAAGAAGAGCUCGAGGCGGCGCUGGAGCAUGGUGGCGCGGCGGCCGGACGAAGCAGGGAGGCUCGAUGGAGGUCGCCGAUGCGGAGAGUUCGCAGGCGAGGUGCGGGCGUAGCAGAGGAGACGAGGCGGCGCUGGGCCGAGGCUUGGGCAGAGCUCCUCGGGCUGGACACUGGCAAGGAGGAAGAACCACGGAGCGGGGUCGCGAGGAACGCAAGGGUGCGCGGGCGUCGGGGCUCCUCCCUUGCGCUAUGCCUGCGAGAGCUCGCGCCUCCUGCGAGCUGCAGCACAAGGAAGCAGGGAGAGGACCCUGGGCGCGGGUGA